CCUACGGGGGGCAGCAGUGGGGAAUAGUGGGCAAUGGGCGCAAGCCUGACCCAGCAACGCCGCGUGAAGGAAGAAGGCUUUCGGGUUGUAAACUUCUUGUAAGAGGGAAGAGCAGAAGACGGUACCUCUUGAAUAAGCCACGGCUAACUACGGGCCAGCAGCCGCGGGAAUACGUAGGUGGCAAGCGUUGUCCGGCUUUACGGGGUGGAAAGGGCGUGCAGCCGGGAAGACAAGUCAGAUGUGAAAUCCCGCGGCUCAACCGCGGAACUGCAUUUGAAACUGUUUUUCUUGAGUACCGGAGAGGUCAUCGGACUUCCUUGUGUAGCGGUGAAAUGCGUAGAUAUAAGGAAGAACACCAGUGGCGAAGGCGGAUGACUGGACGGCAACUGACGGUGAGGCGCGAAAGCGUGGGGCGCAAACAGGAUUCGAUACCCUUGUAGUC
RNAcentral lists this ribosomal RNA (442 nucleotides) under uncultured bacterium. RNAcentral describes it as "partial 16S ribosomal RNA". It matches the Rfam family "Bacterial small subunit ribosomal RNA", at positions 338 to 795 of the family's 1533-position model. The record is from RNAcentral.